Molecule: long non-coding RNA, 822 nt
Organism: Peromyscus leucopus (white-footed mouse)
Lineage: Eukaryota; Metazoa; Chordata; Mammalia; Rodentia; Cricetidae
Exons: 2
Source: RefSeq, a predicted model, not a curated record
AUCUACUUCAGAGAAGAUGAUGAGCAUCAAAGAACCCCCAUAUGGAAUUUGCUUUCAAUGUGGCAAAGCUAGUCAUUUGUCCAAGAAAUUGUCCUUGCCUUAACUGCUGACAGUAUGCUGUCCAAAUUGGACAAUCGGGACACAAAGGAAGUUGACUUCCAAACUUUGCCAAUACAAGGAGUGCUUGACUGCAAGAGGCCACACAGUAAGAAGCAUAUUUUCACACCAGUCAUUAAGUUUGUUCUGAAGUUGAAGAUAAAAUAAAUAACGAGUGCAAAGACUUGAAGAUCUGUUAAACAGAGUUUGAAGAUUUUUUUCAGAAGAGAUAGAGAGUAAAUAUUUUAAGCUUUAUGGGCUGUACGGUGUGCUUUGACCACUACUGAAUGCUGGCAUUGCCGAAAAGCAGCUACACCAAUAGGCAUAACCAUCAACAUUGCCGUGCCUCCAGCUACUUACAAAACACAUACAUGCAGGUCGAGCCUGCAGGUGGUUGUUUGCUGACCUCUGGUAUCAAGCCCUUUGCUACACAAAGCCUUAAUUUUGUAUUUAGAUCAUUUACCUCACAGAGAUAAUACAGGUGAAGACAUAAUGGAUUUAGGAGCCAUCUUCCAGCUUUAUCACUGACUGUGCCCUCUGUGAAGUGUAAAAGAAGAUAAACAGCAAGACUCUCUUCCAAAGCUUGAAAUGUCUAAAUCUCAUAUCGAUUGGGCUGAUAAUUCAUACGGAGCAUCUUCUCUCAGACUUCGAAGUCUGAAACAGAUUUUUAACUCUGCAAACCAUUAAAGCUCACCCUUAGAAGGUGGACAUGGGUCCUUACACCAA